UGAGGAAUAUUGGUCAAUGGACGAGAGUCUGAACCAGCCAAGUAGCGUGCAGGAUGACGGCCCUAUGGGUUGUAAACUGCUUUUGUACGGGGAUAAAGUGAGCCACGUGUGGUUUAUUGCAGGUACCGUACGAAUAAGGACCGGCUAACUCCGUGCCAGCAGCCGCGGUAAUACGGAGGGUGCAAGCGUUAAUCGGAAUAACUGGGCGUAAAGGGCAUGCAGGCGGUUCAUCAAGUAGGAUGUGAAAUCCCCGGGCUCAACCUGGGAACAGCAUACUAAACUGGUGGACUAGAGUAUUGCAGGGGGAGACGGAAUUCCAGGUGUAGCGGUGGAAUGCGUAGAUAUCUGGAAGAACACCAAAGGCGAAGGCAGUCUCCUGGGCAAAUACUGACGCUCA
RNAcentral lists this ribosomal RNA (397 nucleotides) under uncultured Succinivibrio sp. Its description in RNAcentral is "bacterial SSU rRNA". It matches the Rfam family "Bacterial small subunit ribosomal RNA", at positions 355 to 749 of the family's 1533-position model. The record is from RNAcentral. Lineage: Bacteria; Pseudomonadati; Pseudomonadota; Gammaproteobacteria; Aeromonadales; Succinivibrionaceae.